Molecule: ribosomal RNA, 496 nt
Filed under: uncultured bacterium
Lineage: Bacteria
Description: partial 16S ribosomal RNA
Rfam family: Bacterial small subunit ribosomal RNA
Source: RNAcentral
AUGAACGCUGGCGGCGUGCCUCAUCCAUGCAAGUCGAGCGAACGGACGAGAAGCUUGCUUCUCUGAUGUUAGCGGCGGACGGGUGAGUAACACGUGGAUAACCUACCUAUAAGACUGGGAUAACUUCGGGAAACCGGGGCUAAUACCGGAUAAUAUUUUGAACCGCAUGGUUCAAAAGUGAAAGACGGUCUUGCUGUCACUUAUAGAUGGAUCCGCGCUGCAUUAGCUAGUUGGUAAGGUAACGGCUUACCAAGGCAACGAUGCAUAGCCGACCUGAGAGGGUGAUCGGCCACACUGGAACUGAGACACGGUCCAGACUCCUACGGGAGGCAGCAGUAGGGAAUCUUCCGCAAUGGGCGAAAGCCUGACGGAGCAACGCCGCGUGAGUGAUGAAGGUCUUCGGAUCGUAAAACUCUGUUAUUAGGGAAGAACAUAUGUGUAAGUAACUGUGCACAUCUUGACGGUACCUAAUCAGAAAGCCACGGCUAACUACGUG